Molecule: non-coding RNA, 21 nt
Filed under: Arabidopsis thaliana (thale cress)
Lineage: Eukaryota; Viridiplantae; Streptophyta; Magnoliopsida; Brassicales; Brassicaceae
Source: RNAcentral
UAAAAUGGGAGGCACUUGUCA